This is a non-coding RNA of Pelobates cultripes (western spadefoot toad), 368 nucleotides long. NCBI's taxonomy places the organism in Eukaryota, Metazoa, Chordata, Amphibia, Anura, Pelobatidae. The record is from the annotation of a GenBank genome assembly.
CUCUGGGGUGCUAUGUGUGUGUCUGGGGGUGCUGUGUGUGUAUCUGGAGGUGCUGUGUGUAUCUAAAGUGCUGUGUGUGUAUCUAGGGUGCUGUGUGUGUGUGUGUGUCUGGGGGUGCUGUGUGUGAGUGUGUCUGGGGGUGCUGUGUGUGAGUGUGUCUGGGGGUGCUGUAUGUGUCUGGGGGUGCUGUAUGUGUCUGGGGGUGCUGUGUGUGUUUGGGUGCGCUGUGUGUGUUUGGGUGCGCUGUGUGUGUUUGGGUGCGCUGUGUGUGUCUGGGGUGCUGUGUGUGUGUCUGGGGGUGCUGUGUGUGAGUUGGCUGUGUGUGUCUGGGGGUGCAGUGUGUGUGUCUGGGGUGCUGUGUGUUUCUG